GGAGUAGUGGUGGGUCCACGACUGAAAGGACUUUACCAGGAGGCAUAGGUUGUGCGCCUUUGCCGAAGGUUCGAAUCCUUCCUGCUCCC
RNAcentral lists this transfer RNA (89 nucleotides) under Pseudobdellovibrionaceae bacterium. RNAcentral describes it as "Bdellovibrionaceae bacterium (activated sludge metagenome) tRNA-OTHER". Lineage: Bacteria; Pseudomonadati; Bdellovibrionota; Bdellovibrionia; Bdellovibrionales; Pseudobdellovibrionaceae. The record is from RNAcentral.